AGCGAACGCUGGCGGCAGGCCUAACACAUGCAAGUCGAACGAACUCUUCGGAGUUAGUGGCGGACGGGUGAGUAACACGUGGGAACGUGCCUUUUGGUUCGGAAUAACUCAGGGAAACUUGUGCUAAUACCGAAUGUGCCCUUCGGGGGAAAGAUUUAUCGCCAUUAGAGCGGCCCGCGUCUGAUUAGCUAGUUGGUGAGGUAAAGGUUCACCAAGGCGACGAUCAGUAGCUGGUCUGAGAGGAUGACCAGCCACACUGGGACUGAGACACGGCCCAGACUCCUACGGGAGGCAGCAGUGGGGAAUCUUGCGCAAUGGGCGAAAGCCUGACGCAGCCAUGCCGCGUGAAUGAUGAAGGUCUUAGGAUUGUAAAAUUCUUUCACCGGGGACGAUAAUGACGGUACCCGGAGAAGAAGCCCCGGCUAACUUCGUG
Molecule: ribosomal RNA, 433 nt
Filed under: uncultured bacterium
Lineage: Bacteria
Description: partial 16S ribosomal RNA
Rfam family: Bacterial small subunit ribosomal RNA
Source: RNAcentral